AUGUUUGUUUAUGAAAGGUGCAGGAACAGAUUAAAACAUGACACUGCUCAUACUUUGAACCCAUUCUGGAUGACUCCAUGCAAGCCUUGAACAUCCAUGCCUGUAGAGGUAACAUUAUAAAAGAAUGGUGGCUGCAUGCUGUUCAUGAAAUCCACAACAUGAGAGAUAACAAGUGAAACCUGUCCAAGAUAACCCUAGAAUGAGUCUGUCAUUCCUGCUUUGGAAUCGGAGAAGUAGCCAAAUCCUUGAUCCCACCUCAGCCAUACGUGUGGAGAAAGCUUUAAUGCCCAGGGGAAUCAGCAGAGAAAUUAGACAAGUUAAUGCAAGGCCAUGCAACUUUCCAUCAUGAGAAAAGUGGUACGCUGACCAGAUUGGACUGUUGUACUCCUGUGGGAAGAGAAGCAAUGAGUGCUGCUUUCUGAGUGUGAUACACAGGCACUAAAUAAUUUGUGCUCUCUUUGGAGUUCAUUUGGACAUCUCCUAGUUCUAUUUUUUCAAAUCAAUCAGUUUUCAUCACUGAAAAACACAGAAAGAGGCAUCAAAAGGUGUACAGAUGAAUGUAGACUCUGAAAGCAAGGGGAGUAGUGCAUGAUGAGAAAAUAAUUUUUAAAGUGGAUCAAUUAGAAAGAAAUAUAAAACUGGGGAAUAUUGUUGGGAUCAUAAGUUAUCACACAAUGUUGUAGGAGAGAGAAUGUAUGCAGCAGCCAUCUGUUGCCAGCCAGAUGUUAGAAACUCUGAAACAUCUUCACCACCAAAAGUCAAGGAGCAUUUAUUAUAGCGAAAAAGUCACUUUGCCUGAACAAAGCAAGUUUUGCC
Molecule: long non-coding RNA, 816 nt
Filed under: Stegodyphus dumicola
Lineage: Eukaryota; Metazoa; Arthropoda; Arachnida; Araneae; Eresidae
Description: uncharacterized LOC118194885, transcript variant X2
Source: RNAcentral